UCAGGAGAUUUGGAUCCUGAACUGUAAAGUCAUUUCUCCAUGGUGGAGAACAGUUUUCGUGGUAGAGGCUUCACCUUCUUUGACCAGCAACAGCUGGGUCAUCUUUCAACUAGGCCAGUGAAGAAAACGUCAGUGGCAGUGCAGUUGCUGAUGACAGCUCACACAGAAAUGUUGGAUUUCUAACCAUUGGUUCAAAAUACUGAUUUCAAACUUUGGUGCUGUAAUGACAAUAUAGUCAAAGACUUGCCAUUGUUCGCCUAUGACUAAGAAAUAAUGAUCAUGCAAACAGGAAUUAUUGAUCAUAACAGAUCUGUUAUUAACAGUUAUGGAACCACAGCUGUCUAAAGAGGAUGAAGUAACUAAUUGAAACUGGGUGUAUUUGUUGAGCAGCUGUUCUCCAGAGCUGAGGUGACAGUGGAAUACAUUUAUGGAAAAGAAAACAACAGAAGCACAAGAACACCAUGACAGCAGCAGAAACCAACUCACUGGAGAUGGCAAGAAAACAGUACACUAGCAGUUAUGUUUAAUAUAUAGUCAUUCCCAAUAACAGCUGUCCCAGCAUGAGGAGAAGCUGGAGAAUACCCAUGAGUGCUCUCGUGUGGUUAGCUCAACAGAGGCCUCUGCUGAGCAAAUAGUAACUGCCUGAGACAAGUUCAAAACCAGGAAAAGCAUCUCACCUUGGCACACCUUUAUAAGGGUCAUACAGUACUCCUCUUACAAACAGUAUUGUGAGGAAAGAAACUUCCAAAGGAACAGAUAAGUGUAAAUAGAACUGUCUUAUUUCUAAGAGGGAAAAAAAAAACCACAUCCAAAAGCUGUGUGUUAUGAAAUAAGAAUUUUCACAAAUGGUUUGCAAUUAGAAACCACUUUAUAUAUCUUGCAAUAAUUUUGUUUAUUAAAGGUUCAAAAGUCAUUUGAGCAAUUGCUUCAGAGAGACUGAUUUGCCAUAAGAUUCAAAGUAUACCUUUGGAUCAUUUCAAACUGAUUUCUGUCCUUGCUUAAUUGUAUUUGUCACACUGCAGCUGAAUCAAAUCAUUGAUUUGUCAGAAGUGCUUUAUUCUUCACUCUAGAUCUGUGCAGAUCUAAGCUAUAAACCAGGAAAGCAGUAAAAAGUUGCAUUUGUAAAUAUUUUAGAGAAGACUACUGUUCUGUGGUGCUUUAUGCUGUUUUCUCUGGUGCUAUUGAGUGCUUUGUAGAAGCUCACUUGGGAAAUGUAUUCUUUGAUUUUGGUAAUCAAUUGAUCAACAUUUGAAGCUCUGCUCAGACAGUUAUUGUGAAGAGCAGUACUUUCAAAUAGCCA
This is a long non-coding RNA of Pogoniulus pusillus (Red-fronted tinkerbird), 1300 nucleotides long. RefSeq lists it as uncharacterized. The record is from RefSeq and is a predicted model, not a curated record. The transcript has 4 exons. NCBI's taxonomy places the organism in Eukaryota, Metazoa, Chordata, Aves, Piciformes, Lybiidae.